RNAcentral lists this ribosomal RNA (229 nucleotides) under uncultured bacterium. RNAcentral describes it as "partial 16S ribosomal RNA". It matches the Rfam family "Bacterial small subunit ribosomal RNA", at positions 568 to 796 of the family's 1533-position model. The record is from RNAcentral.
CGCGUAGGCUGUCUUUUAUGUCAGGUGUGAAAGCCCGGGGCUUAACCCCGGAAGUGCAUUUGAAACUGAAAGACUUGAGUAUGGGAGAGGGAAGUGGAAUUCCUGGUGUAGCGGUGAAAUGCGUAGAUAUCAGGAGGAACACCGGUGGCGAAGGCGACUUCCUGGACCAAUACUGACGCUGAGGCGCGAAGGCGUGGGGAGCAAACAGGAUUAGAUACCCUGGUAGUCC